ACCUAAAGAACCCUUCAAUCCCAAUGGGUAUAUUUUGCAGCCUUGUAUGCAACUUGUGAGCAUUACCUCAUUGAACUCAUUCUUGGGUGAAAAGCACCCAAAGAGAAAGAGGAGCAAGAGAGGACAGAGAGAUAAAAAGUAGGAGUAAAACAUAUGGAUGUCCCAAUAAGAAUAAUUGGUCUGUUUUCAUCUUUGGCUUCAACUUAUCCAAAUUAAUGCAAUUCUGUUCAAGAAUUGGGUGGCAUGGUUGAAAGAAAGUCAGGACAAGAACUGUAUCUUUUACACUGUAAAAUGUACACAGUCUCACUCUGUUUCACAACAAUCAAAGAAGAACUUAAGGAACAGUGGUGAGCUUGAUGUGGAAAUGCUUUUGUCAUAUAUGAAAGGAAAGCUUCAGCCCUCAUUUAUCUAGGAUGAAAAAUGAAAACGUGAAAGCUGCGUGUUGUUUGAUUCUGAAAAAUGACCUGACCAGAUGUCAAAAUUAUUGAGAAGCAGCAUGACAGCCCUUGGAUGCCAACCCUUGAAAGUAAGACAAGCAAGACAAGGAGAUAUUGAAAUAUGUGGACUGGACUUGAACUCUGUGUUUGUAUUUUCUUUAAAAGGAAAACAAAAAUCUUUCUAAAAAUAUUGGCUUAAUCUUUUGCUUCCAACAGUCAGAAAUACCAGAUGAAGUUUGCCAAAUUAUGGGGAAAUUUCAGCUUUGAUGAUGUGUUAGUUUGGUUAUCUGUCAGGAAGCUUAUUUUGGAUAUAUCCCCCAAACAUGAUUUAUAAAAUCACAAAAUCACAGAAUAUGC
Pipra filicauda (Wire-tailed manakin) is the source of this 794-nucleotide long non-coding RNA. RefSeq lists it as uncharacterized. NCBI's taxonomy places the organism in Eukaryota, Metazoa, Chordata, Aves, Passeriformes, Pipridae. The transcript has 3 exons. The record is from RefSeq and is a predicted model, not a curated record.